GGUUAAGCGACUAAGCGUACACGGUGGAUGCCCUGGCAGUCAGAGGCGAUGAAGGGCGUGCUAAUCUGCGAUAAGCGCCGGUAAGGUGAUAUGAACCGUUAUAACCGGCGAUACCCGAAUGGGGAAACCCAGUGUGAUUCGUCACACUAUCA
RNAcentral lists this ribosomal RNA (152 nucleotides) under Salmonella enterica. RNAcentral's name for it is "partial 23S ribosomal RNA". It matches the Rfam family "Bacterial large subunit ribosomal RNA", at positions 1 to 153 of the family's 2925-position model. RNAcentral also lists the same sequence under 1 other name. Lineage: Bacteria; Pseudomonadati; Pseudomonadota; Gammaproteobacteria; Enterobacterales; Enterobacteriaceae. The record is from RNAcentral.